RNAcentral lists this ribosomal RNA (425 nucleotides) under uncultured bacterium. RNAcentral describes it as "partial 16S ribosomal RNA". It matches the Rfam family "Bacterial small subunit ribosomal RNA", at positions 354 to 796 of the family's 1533-position model. The record is from RNAcentral.
GUGGGGAAUCUUAGACAAUGGGCGCAAGCCUGAUCUAGCCAUGCCGCGUGAGCGAUGAAGGCCUUAGGGUUGUAAAGCUCUUUCGUGGGGGAAGAUAAUGACUGUACCCCAAGAAGAAGCCCCGGCUAACUCCGUGCCAGCAGCCGCGGUAAUACGGAGGGGGCUAGCGUUGUUCGGAAUUACUGGGCGUAAAGCGCACGUAGGCGGACUGGAAAGUCAGGGGUGAAAUCCCGGGGCUCAACCCCGGAACUGCCUUUGAAACUCCCAGUCUUGAGUUCGAGAGAGGUGAGUGGAAUUCCGAGUGUAGAGGUGAAAUUCGUAGAUAUUCGGAGGAACACCAGUGGCGAAGGCGACUCACUGGCUCGAUACUGACGCUGAGGUGCGAAAGCGUGGGGAGCAAACAGGAUUAGAUACCCCGGUAGUCC